UGGCUGCUCUGGUGUAUGUUAAAUGAAUGUUCUUGUACCAAGACAGCAGUUUUAUCCAUAUUAGAACUGUUGGUUCAAAAUUCUUGAAGUGUGAAAGCCUCUGAAGCAUUCUCUGAAAACCCAGUCUUAGAAAAUGAAUUCUGUAGAUGGAAGGAUGGUAUUAAAGAGGCCUGAGAAACCUAUGCUACUGGAGCUGAUUGAGAGGAAACUUGAAACUAGUUGCUUACUGAGUAGUUUGCUUAGUAGGCCAUAGGCCUGUUUCUUUCAAGAGGAGAGAAGUAGAAAUGAAAUGGCACAAGUGUUAUUUCAAGGAUGGAGGAAGGAGCAGAUUUUCUGUUUCUGUUUUGCACACGUCUUGUGGAUAAGGCGUAGUAAGGCCUGUGAAGCCUUCUUAUCUGAAGGGCAGUACUGAUCUUUUGAAAGUUAGCGAAUCCACCAGCUGUUUGCGAGAUAAAGCAAGAAAUUUUACUGAGAACAGAGGUUUUGACUGCUUUACAAAGAAGUUACGCAAGGCAGUAAAACCUUGGAUUCAUACACCAAAUCCUCUUGCCUUCCAGGCCUCACACCUCUGUCAAUUGAACAUACGAGCCUGUGAAGUUGUAUCGUCUUUGAGUUGUCUGAAACAAUUCUUAACUGCUGUACAGAUUUCUGAGAUGAAGUUGUAAAUCAAAAUAUGUUAUAGUGAACUCAGGCUUUGUGCAAAAUAUUUAAUAUUUGUUUAUUUGUCUAAUCGUACAGUCUCUGUACUAGUGGCAAUUUUAUGUUUUGAUUGUAAAACAUGAAGAUCCUCAUUUAUAAAGUAGUGUUACUGUAGUGUCAGCUGUGAUUCAUGAUUAGAACUGUCAUAGCAUGGCAUCGGUGUAUCUCCAAUUUAAUGGACAGCUCUUCAAAAACAAAUUUAUUCUUGUAUCAACUUUUAGAUCAGUUACUUAAAAUAUGUAAAAGGUACAGUGACCGUUUUGAGAAAUUCUUUUCACUUUGUACUGUGAAUGAGGUUGCCUAUGGAAAUAAAUGAACUUUU
Gallus gallus (chicken) is the source of this 1021-nucleotide long non-coding RNA. The record is from Ensembl. NCBI's taxonomy places the organism in Eukaryota, Metazoa, Chordata, Aves, Galliformes, Phasianidae.